RNAcentral lists this ribosomal RNA (253 nucleotides) under uncultured Armatimonadota bacterium. Its description in RNAcentral is "uncultured Armatimonadetes bacterium partial 16S ribosomal RNA". It matches the Rfam family "Bacterial small subunit ribosomal RNA", at positions 524 to 776 of the family's 1533-position model. The record is from RNAcentral. Lineage: Bacteria; Bacillati; Armatimonadota.
UACGUAGGGAGCGAGCGUUGUCCGAAGUUACUGGGCGUAAAGCGCGUGUAGGCGGGUUGUUAAGUCCGCUGUGAAAGCCCGGGGCUCAACCCCGGAGGGUCGGUGGAUACUGGCAGUCUUGAAGUGGCUAGGGGGAAAUGGAAUUACCGGUGUAGCGGUGAAAUGCGUAGAGAUCGGUAGGAACACCAGUGGCGAAGGCGGUUUCCUGGAGCCCACUUGACGCUGAGACGCGAAAGCUGGGGGAGCGAACGGG